This is a non-coding RNA of Camellia sinensis, 450 nucleotides long. Lineage: Eukaryota; Viridiplantae; Streptophyta; Magnoliopsida; Ericales; Theaceae. The record is from RefSeq and is a predicted model, not a curated record.
CUCAUCUCAUCAGUCUCUCUCUGUUUCGAAUUAAAUCUGUGAUUAGAACUGUAAGAAUGAAGAUGGCAGAAGAGCGAGUUUCACCAGUGAUAUCUCAAUGGAUCAGGAUGAUGACGAUGAGAAAGAAACCAAAUACCGCUUGGAUCCAAAGUACGCCAAUGUAAAAACACCAGAACGACAUGUGCGGACACGCCUUUAUUUCACAUCGAUGAGGAUUAUUAUGUGCUGUAAACACUCCAUGCAGUGACUCCAACAAGCCACGCAUGGGAAGCUUUCUGUACAUCUUCCCGGUUCAAGUAAGUAACCGUUUCAUCUUCUACACAGACAUCUAUGUUCUUUGUAUCUUGCUGUAAAUGAAGAUUGAUAUAGAUGGAGCCAAGACUGAUUAACACAGUAAAAGAAGAGGAAAACAAGAGUUUCCUAAAGAUAAAGAAACAAACAAGUAUAGGA